Molecule: unclassified non-coding RNA, 261 nt
Filed under: plant metagenome
Description: partial contains small subunit ribosomal RNA, internal transcribed spacer 1, and 5.8S ribosomal RNA
Source: RNAcentral
UUUCCGUAGGUGAACCUGCGGAAGGAUCAUUAUCGAGUUUUGACUGGGUUGUAGCUGGCCUUCCGAGGCAUGUGCACGCCCUGCUCAUCCACUCUACACCUGUGCACUUACUGUGGGUAUCAGAUCGUGAAGCGUGCUCUUACCGGAGCUUGUGAAGCGUGUCUGUGCCUGCGUUUAUCACAAACACUAUAAAGUAUCAGAAUGUGUAUUACGAUGUAACGCAUCUAUAUACAACUUUCAGCAACGGAUCUCUUGGCUCUC